GGGAUACCCCCUGCUGAGUCUUUGGCCAUCGCCAACAGGCUUAAUUGCCGCAUGGGCUCAUUCCCCACAACCUACUUGGGGACGCCCAUUAGUGACUCCAGGCUUACCGUCGCGGACUUGCGCCCCUCCGUGGCCAAGCUUCAAACGCUCGUCGAGCCCUGGCAGGGGAGGUGGCUGCCCAAAGCGGCCCGGACUAUCCUCAUCAACUCUUCCCUCUCCAGCCUCCUCUUGUUUCUUAUGAGCUUCUACAGCCUCCACGAGACCCUUCACAAGGAGAUUGUCAAGAUCCAGUCCCGCUUUUACUGGGCGGGCGACAAUGAUAAGAAGAAGUAUCAUAUGGUCAGUUGGUCUGACAUUUGCAAGCUCCGGGAGCAAGGUGGCCUUGGCAUCAUGUGCUCUAAACGGAUGAACAUUGCCCUCCUCUCCCGCUGGCUUUGGCGAAUAUUGCAAGGACACGGUGGUCUUUGGCUUGACAUCAUCCGGAACAAAUACCUACGCGGACAGCCACUCGCCUUUUGCCAAAAGUCUGGAGGCUCUCAGUUCUGGCAGUCGAUCGUCCAGCUUCUUUCGGUUCUCCGUAUCGGGACCUUCAUCUCGGUGGGAUCUGGAACUUCGACGCUGUUCUGGUUUGAUCGUUGGGCCGAAGACACCCCCUUCGCGACUCGCUUCCCUGGCCUCUUCUCCAUCUCCGUCGCCCCCGUAAUCUCUGUUGAUAGGGCCCUUCUUGACUUAGGGCACCUUGCUUUCCGGCGGGCCUUUGGCCCCAUGGAAUCCGCCGCCUAG
RNAcentral lists this ribosomal RNA (783 nucleotides) under Triticum aestivum (bread wheat). RNAcentral's name for it is "partial small subunit ribosomal RNA". The record is from RNAcentral. Lineage: Eukaryota; Viridiplantae; Streptophyta; Magnoliopsida; Poales; Poaceae.